ACCCAACAGUUCAGAACCCUGGAACCCACACAGCCAACUGUGAAGAACAGGCCAGCAGGGUCUCCUUCUAGAGACUCUAGAGAGAUCAGAAUGUUUUCUUGCUGUUUUAAGGCUACUCCAGGAUCAGAGCCCAAGAAAGACAAGAGUGAAGGCUGUGGUGUCUGGAAACACCAAGUUCACUCUUGCCUCCAAUGCUUCUGGCCAUUUGGCAGGAAGGAAACAAAUCUGACCCAGGGCAGCCAGGCCCAGGACUGCAAAGACUAGGUUGAGGAGUCUGGCCCAAAGGUCCAGGAAGAGCCCUGUAGAGAGUCCUGCAUCAGCGCAGUCAUGGUGGCAAGACUGGUGAACUGCCUUCCCUGCAGGAACCAUCUGUACUUUUCUGGAUACAUGGAUGGACAAGAAACCUGAGGAAUUUUGCCAGUCUUCAGCCCUGACAAUUGUGAAACAGCUGAAGAAUUUCUUGGUUGUGAACAUGCCCUACUCAGAUCUUACCGUUCAUGUCCAUAUGCUCCUGACCCAUUUGGAGGAAGAAGAGGGCACUGAAUCAGAGGCCAGGAAUGAAGAAGCCUCGGAGAUGCCCACAUCAGCAACAUAUCUGCCUGCAUCCAUCAAUCCAAAGAGACAUGCAUUCACAGAUCCAGAUCUUGAAGUGUGUUAACCAGCAGCGAUGCCAGCUACUCUGGUGCCAGAACCAACUUGUGCACCAGAGCCAGAGAGUACAAACACCACCAGAAGAUUCCGUGACAUCUCUGCUGUUGGAACCAGAUGUGACAGCAGCUUUCCAGCCAGCACACCUGUGAGCUGCUGUGGAUCCUGUGUGUCUCACCGUGUCAGCCGACACAGUGCAACUUUCACUUAUCCCACCUUCCAUCGAUGGGUCUACCUCCCUGGGGAAUGGCCUGCCACCCUUUCUCCUCGUUUCCCAUCUAUAUCCAUUCUGCAGACAGCACCAGUUCUGUAUUCCUCCACAGAGUCACAUCCUGAUUUCAACCAUGCUCCGUUCCCACCAUCACAACCAGCUUCCCCUCCCCGAGAAAUAGCCUCUUUACUCUUCUGGCUCUUUUCGACAUUGUGUGAAAGUAUUGGUUUUAGUAAAUUAUUAGUGACUGAUUUUCAUUGUCUUAAUUAUGGUUAUGAUGUCCACUCAGCAUGCUUGUACAUGCUUGUACAGGGGUUAGCAAUGUCCCCAAGCAGAUACAUGGAGGCCAUACUGGAGAGAAGGCAGGCAGAAUCCCCUGAUUUCACAGAGACCAGGAGAAUGCCUGAGAGUGGUGAUAGAAUUACAGAGAAUUAGGCUAGCUGUCAUUUGCUGUGUUCCUAGCAGCUAGGGUCAUGUGCUUAGAGGUCAGGCUGCCCAGGUGUCCUUCAAACAGGUUUCUGCUUUAGUUUCAUUCUCCUUACACUAGGUAGCAGUACCAUUUUAGGGUCUGAUGAGGACUAAUUGUGAUGUCAUGAGAUGCCUGACUCUCACGAGUGCAAGCUGGACACAUACCCGCCAUUGCCAAUAUUUCGUAUACUAUUUGAAGAGCGAGUCUCUGGAGUUCUCAGGAGUGUUUCAUGCUACUGAUGAUGCUUAAACCAUGCUGAUUUUCUUGUAGUAUUGCCUCAAUGUUGGGGACAGUCUGUGAGUUACAAUGUCAAGUUUUUAGUUAUAUUUCCUCCAGUGUUUAUGGAUAUGGCCCACAAACAAGCCAACUGAACUUACCAUGCUUCUCUGGCUCUCUCAGGACAAUUCCAUUGGUGACUACCAUCUAUUGAUGUCCCAUAUAUGUCACCUUGGGCAUCUGAGGGACUUGUCUUCCCAGUAAGGCCAGUCAGGUGUCCAGAACUUCUAGGGGGUCACAUAUCUGCUCACUAUAGCUUCCUAGGAAUGAAGGGAUCCCACCAUCAAUCAUCAUGGCAUUUUUCAUAGGGGUAAAAUCCUGCAAGUCUCAAUUAGCUAACCUAAGUGUCCAGACCUCAGAGAGUCCAUGUUGUAGCUGGGGGCGGGUUGAACUUCAGUAAGGUCUGUGUAGGGCAAGAUAAGAUGGAGGAAUGUAGUUGUUCAGGAAGUCAGCUGAGAGUGGUUUGAUAUCAAUCUUUCUGGUGAAACAGGAAAUCAAGGGUGUGCAAGUCCUCCACAGCAGGAGCAGUGGACUGGCUGCAACACGAUUGUACAGGAAAUUUAAGAUGGUGAAGAGGUGUGUGUCCAUACACAAACAGAAAGGGAAACUGCUCUUACAGGUCAUAGGUUAUGUGGAAAAGACUGGGCCUCCAUGAGAUCUCAGUAGAGCUAAUAAUGAACUGCCAAGUCAUAAAUGAAUAAUGGAUAAAAACUGGAUAUUUGAUCUUCAGCAGUGAAAGAGCUAAAAAUGAAAACAUCACAAAUUGAUAUCAAUGAAAUAAUACAAAAGAUUAUAUUUUAAAUGUACACAGUGAGAACCAGACAUUUCCAGUGUAAACUUUGUGCUACCGAAAGUAUAAUAGAGAGACUGUAUUACUCUGCUCAAGGGCUGAGAAGCUCAGUUAUCUCUCCAAUUGUCAUUAUUGUGGCAGUUGGCAUCAUCGUUGCUGUGGUCAAGCACUUGCCAGCAGCACAGUGGGGAAAACCGAGUUGUCCCUCAGCUUCAGAGGCCAACUCCAUCAUGACAAGGAGGGCAAGGCGCAAUUGAGCAGUUCAUUCCACAUCGAGUAAAGGAGAAGAGAAUCAGGUGCUUGGCUGGCUUUCUUCUGUGAUUCUGCCCAGAACUCAGACCAAUGGGAUAGUGUAGUGCCCAUCCAGUGUGGGUGUUACCUCAACAGUGAAUCCUCAGAAGAGUCACCACAGGACACACACUCAGUUGUACCUCACCAAUCUAGUGUUUCCCAAAUUCACGUCUAUCUACAGUGAAUACUCACCAUCUCACUUACUUGCAUCAGUCUACCAUUCAAUGUAGACUUACUGUAGUCAAACCUGACCGCUGUGGUUUCUUCUUCCCAAACACUCAGGAUCAAAGCAGGCCACAGACCUGCUUCUUCCUGCAGAACAGAGCAAAGAUCCCAUUUAACAGCUGGAAAGGGAAGGAACCUUGGAGACUUAGCUCUGAAAAACCCUAGGUAGCACCCUUGCUGCUCUUCAGCAGCUGCCAGGCACAAGGCUGCCUGCUAACUUUGAGAAAGAGGCCAGUGUUGCAGUGCUUGCCUAGCAUGUGUGAGACAGACCCUGCCAUCGAUGCCCAGCAAUACAGGAAGAAAACUAGUUUUCAGACAUGUGUCUGUCACGCUGUCACUUCCUACUUUUAGGAAUUAUCUGUGGUAGAUUCUCAAGCUACAAACCCUGAUGUCCCUGGACUCUGUGAAAUUUAAGGUUUUAUAUUUUCAUUUAAUAACUUGACAUGGUAAAAGCACGUUAUGAGUCAAGUGGUUGUAUUUAUAAUGGACUUAGCCCACUACACAGGGAUAUAUUGUGCCAGGAAGAUAGUCAGAAAAGAACCAGAGUAGAAUUGAUAUGUAAAUGAUAUCACACUAAGCAGAGGUCAUUGUAUUUGAUUCUUUUCUGUUGCUGCGAUAAAACAUCAGGACCAAGGUAACUUAUAGAAAGAAGAGUCUACCUGGGUUUGGUUUCCAGUGGGAGACUAGUGCAUCCUGGUGUGGCUGAGGCGUGGCAGCAGGAACAGGAAUUUGAGAACUCUCAUCUUGAACUGCAAGUAGGAAGCAGAGAGAGCAAACUUCAAGUGGUGGAGGGUUUGUAACCUCAAAGCCCACCCCAGGGACAUCUUCCUCCAGCAAGGCUGUGCAACUUAAACCUCCUCGAAUAGCAUCACCACCUGAGCCUUGGUAUUCAAAACCUGAGACUCUGGGGACAGUAAUAUUCAAUCAACCACAGUUUGAUAAUGGUAUAGGGUGCAUCAAUGUACAGAUUAUACUCAUCACAACCAAAAAGUGGUAGGAAUUGUCAUCUCAAUCUGGUGGGAUCCUGGCUGUAACUGAGUCAGCUCAAGCUAACAUGAUUAUGGUUAACAAUGCUAUGUGUAGUAUCAGCAUCAUAAUCACCAACAUUAUCACCCAUCAUGAUAAUACAUUUAACUGAUAUUUGACUUAAUUCAGUUCAUACAUUGGUCCUUAAUGUAUGUUCCUGGUUCUUUAAGAAUAAGAGUUAGUCUCUGGUUGAAAUGGGUGCAGGAUUGUGGAGUGUGGAAUCAGGGAACAGGAUCUCAGACUGUCCCCUUUGUACCUUCCUCUCCCCAUCAGCUUAGCUAAUACCAAGAUGGAGCAGGGGAGAACCAGAAUAUGAAGCUGAAACUAAAUCCUGGCAGACCAGCUCACAUCCAGCUUCUGUGAUCUUUUCCUGUCCAUGCCAUGUCCACAUGCUUAGCUAUAAACAUCACACACACAGUUCAGAGUUCCUCUUGCUGUUAAUCUUGUCAUAGCCAUCUUGCUCAAGUUCCAUAUAGUUGUCCAAAUGGUGAUACCAUUUUGUUGUUUCAAUUUAUACUUUUAACUGUUGAAGAUGUUUUUCAUGUCUCUUUACAAAGUGUGCAUCUGUUACAUAGAUGAGCUAUUCACCUUUGGUCUAUUUAACUAAUAAGUUUAAAUUUUGGCAAUAAAUGUGUUUCCCCACUAUGUUACCAUA
Molecule: long non-coding RNA, 4591 nt
Organism: Mesocricetus auratus (golden hamster)
Lineage: Eukaryota; Metazoa; Chordata; Mammalia; Rodentia; Cricetidae
Exons: 4
Source: RefSeq, a predicted model, not a curated record